ACUAAAGAUUAAGGGACAGAUGUAGUAAAGCCCCUUGAAUGUUUUGUGUGCAGCUCAUCUCUCAAAGUAAAAGACUUUCCUAAAAUUUACCCAAAAACAAACUUGCCUUGAUUCGACCUUCUUUUAUCCCGAUUGAACUGAUCGUUAAUCGCCAUCAAAAACUUCAAUUUAUUGAAUUCCUCUUGAACCCGUUUCAAUCCAAUCAUCUAAAUCCCAACCCACACGUCCAAAUCACACCUUGCUUUUGAUUCAUUAGCUCCCAUUCGUUACACUUGCUUUGAUUAAUUGUUGCCCCAUUUUCGAUUUCUUUGAAAACCCAUUUCAAAUUGACGAUAUAAUAACCAGCCCCUCGAUCAAAAUCUCAACUUGAUGUGUUUAGCAAUGGAGGGUUUGCAAGAUGUGGCCCCAAAAAUUUUUAUUAGGACUCAUGCAUUGUCGAUGAUCUUGCUUCUGAGGCACUUCAAGCGCAGAUACUUGGUCCGGUUCUUGAUGCAGCUCUUUGCAUGUGAAGUGUUCGUUAUGAUGCCAAAGAUUUCAAACAGAUGGAUCCAAAUAAAUGUGAGUUUGCAAACGAGGGACUCCUAAUGAUAAGAAGCAUCUUCUGAGGACUACAAAGAGAAGGAAGCCGCCAGAAAAUCAACCUCACAAGCUUUAAUCCCUCAACCCAAGCCUAGAGAUCAGAAGAUAUGCAAUGGAUUGAGAGAUUGAAAGGCUAAAGCGAGACAGGGACAUACUGAUGAUAGAGGUUGUAAUGCUAAGGCAGGAGCAGCGGAACACAAGAGCACAUCGCCAAGCUAUGGAAGCAUUGAUAGAAGGGACUGAGCAAUACAAGACCCAAACUUCUUUUAGCAGUUAGCUCAGAAGAAGCAGCACAGAAGGUCAUUACAAAGAAAAGAAAAGGAUGAGUAGCUUUCAGGCAUAAUGAUGUGAAGUCAUCAUUUCAUCUGAGUCCAACGCAGGUUGUCUGAAUGCAGGGAAUUAUGAAAAACAAGGAAAGAAAAAAAGCGGCUGAAGGAGAAGUGCAGAGUUGAGCAAUCAUUUUUGGGAAGAGCUUCUGAAUGAAGAAAUAGGAGAGAGGCGAUGAUAAUGUAAGAUCUUGGCUGAGAAACUAAGAGGCAUUAGCUCUAUACACUGUUGUGCUCCUCACUCUCGUCUCAUGUAAUUUUGGGUUAAUUGCUGAUGGACCCCCCUAAGUACAUCUAGUUUUAUUUUAGCGGUAGACCUCCCCGAGUGAAAUAUUUUUUACUCUUUUACCCUCAGGGGAAAAGUUUUUUUGACUAGUAAGCCCCCUGAGGGUUGAGCCAAAAACAUUCAUAAAUUCAGAACAACCAUACUAUAAGGGAUCUGUCCGCAAGUAGUUCUA
Molecule: long non-coding RNA, 1363 nt
Organism: Asparagus officinalis (garden asparagus)
Lineage: Eukaryota; Viridiplantae; Streptophyta; Magnoliopsida; Asparagales; Asparagaceae
Exons: 2
Source: RefSeq, a predicted model, not a curated record